Thalassophryne amazonica is the source of this 281-nucleotide long non-coding RNA. RefSeq lists it as uncharacterized. The transcript has 3 exons. NCBI's taxonomy places the organism in Eukaryota, Metazoa, Chordata, Actinopteri, Batrachoidiformes, Batrachoididae. The record is from RefSeq and is a predicted model, not a curated record.
AUCUGUGGGAUUAUGACUGAACGCCUCUAAGUCAGAAUCCUGCCUAGACGAAGCGAUACCGAAGCGCCAUGGAUUUUCGGUUGGCCCCUGAUAGCUGGCCUCCCCCCGGGGGGGCCCCGGUGAGCAGAGCCGCUCGUGACUGGACUGGGGCGCGGCCGGAUAUGCAGCCGCCCUUUUCCUCCCACGCAACUCAUGUUUGUGGAGAACCUGGUUCUAAAUCACUUGCAGACAACCUGAUUCUGGGUCAGGGUGUCGUAAUUAGCAGGGCAGCUCCUCUCCUG